UCGUGUCUUCUUUAUCCAUCUCGAAUUGCGCUUUUCCUGGUUUUUCCGUCAUGUCAAUUCUUAUCCAUUUAGAGUAAUAACGCCCAGUCGACGACGAACAUGUUAAGCAUUCAUCUGGACAGUUUAGCAUACAAUUGGACAGGAUAAAGAUAUUUCUAGCGCACGAUGCAACCUUUGUCACAAUCGUAAUUAUUUUGCGGAUGCUGUAUUUAAACAGAUUUGCUAAGUAGGAUGGACGUCUCAGUCUACUUACAUAAAAUUGAAUAUCUAAUUAUUUUUCAUAAGCCAUUUAAAUGGAAACGUGUUAAAUCCAACUAUUUCGUUCGAUUAUUGUGAGCUAAUACGUAAGGACUUUAACCAUGUCUUCUCCUCCAAGCACGUUCAAUCACUCGUUGAUCAGCAAUGGAACCAACUGUUCGUCAACUGAACGAUCCUCUGCAUCCAUCCACCAAGAGGUUUGGCUCGUGUCACUUCUGCUUGUAGUUAUUAUCGGUCUGAGUCUUAAUCUUUCCGUCAUCUCACUCGUGAUGAUGAAAAAAGUGCCGCGAAGGAACAUGAAUCUUUUGGUCGCUAACAUGGCAUUCAGCGACUUUUUAUCACUUCUACUGGAGCCUUCGUCUCUUCUGUCCCAAAUGACGGGAAACUCGCCAUGGAUUGGGGUUAGUUAUCUGGCAGAUGUGACUUGUAAGUUGUACACAUUCACGAUGAACACAUCCACAUGGGUUUCCCUUGUGACACUUUUGGUUAUCUCCGUGGAGAGGUUCCGAGCAGUGUCAUCCGUUGUACAUGUGACGGAAAAACGCAGCGUUCUCAUUAUCCUGCUACUUGUGUCCUGGGUUUUACCUGGACUGCUUAACUCUAGUACUUUUGCUUUCUGCGCGGCUAAUAACAUCGGAGGGACAUUUCAAUGCUUGUGCGUCUUUACAAUGCAGUCAGCGAUCUAUGCUGUUGCUGCAAAUGUAAUCUUCGUAUUAUUGGUGAUCGUAAUUCUCUGCCUCAAUUUUGCAAUUAUACGUAAACUUGUUCGCUCUCAAGUGGCGAUACACAUCCCAGAGGCUCAGCAACAAAAGCGAGCUCGAAGGUUUCGCUCUGCGACGCGCAUGGUCAUAACUUCUCUUUUUCUGUUUGUACUCUGUGCGACCCCCCUCUACAUAGUGCUCACAAUCUUUAGAAUGCAGUUUUUAUUGGGAGUUCCAAUUCUUAGUGAGUGGAGCGGGAAUAUGAUUAAUGCAGUAACUGUUCUGUUUUUUGUCAAUCCUGCCGCAAGCCCGAUCAUCUACUUUGUAUUUCUCGGCGACUUUAGAAAAGUGUUACGCAAGUUUUGCUGCAGAAAGAAGGUUAUUGGUCAACCGAAUGCGGAACCGGGAUUACCACUUACUUAAUGAGGAACCGGAAGAACUACACUCUUGAUGUGGAACCGGAUGAACUACACAUUUAAUUAUUGUCCUUCGGGAAAAACUGUCCGUGAACAAAUCUGAAAUAGGGUUGGGAACUGUUGAGGAGUUCAGAAACCGAAGGUCUCUUAUAAGUGCUAAUGCCUAAAGGUGAACAUCGCACUAAAAAAUGAACUUAUCACUUUGGAAAUCAGACUUUUGGAACCUUCUCGUGUGCGACUUCCAGUUUGUCCUUACCUGUUUGAAUUAUUUUUUCUCGUCUUAUUAAAAAAACCAGAUCCUAUUCGUUGCAGCCCGAACUGCCAAUUGUUCUUUUAAAUCAUAUAAUAUAUGGUAAAUGAGGUAGAAAACUUUAGUCGAACAUUACUUCAAAUCAACUACAUUUCCUUCCACUUCCUUCUUAUUUGAAUCGUUUUAUUAUUUUCAUGACAUGACGCUGCAAAUAAGCCCAUUUCACAUCUAAUAAGGCAUAAAAUUUCACUGAGUGCUUAGCUAGUAAUAGCAAACACAGUAUCAAACGCGACAUUAAUGCGACUGAUGCGACUUUUUGUAAAGAGUUUUUGAAAUUUUCGUCCAUGAGCCCAUGCAUAGCGCAAGGAUGAUCAAUGUAAAUAUAUUUUAAAUAGCCAAAAUCUGGGUAUGUGCAUUUCGGCCUCACGUUAUUUGUGUUUCCAGAAUACAAGGAACCGAUGCCCAUAGUAAGAAAUCAAGUCUUUUUCAUCCAUCUCGAAUUGCGUUUUUCCUGGUUUUUCCGUCAUGUCUAUUUUAAUCCAUUUGAAGUAAUAACGCCCAGUCUGCGACGAAAAUGUUAAGCAUUCAUCUGGACAGUUGAGCAUACAAUUGGGCAGGAUGAAGAAGAUAUUUCUAGCGCACGGUGCAACAUUUGUCACAAUCGUAAUUAUUUCGCUGAUGCUGUAUAGAAACAGAUUUGCUAAGUAGGAUGGACGUCUCAGUCCACUCACAUAAAAUUGAAUAUUUAAUUAUUUUUCAUAAGACAUUGGCAUGGAAACGUUUGUCAAAUCCAACCAUUUCGUUCGAUUAUUGUUAAGCCUUCUGCGUUAGGACUUUAACCAUGUCGUCUCCUCCAAGCAUGUUCAAUCACUCGCUGAUCAGCAAUGGAACCAAAACUUCGUCAACUGAACGAUCCUCGGCAUCCAUCCACCAAGAGGUUCGACUUUACUCUUAAUGAGGAACCGGAUGAACUACACAUUUGUGAAACCGGAAGUACUACUCAAUGAGGAACAGGAAGAACUACACACGUAAUGCGGAACCGGAAGUACCAAUCAAUAAGGAACCGGAAGAACUACACAAUGUGGAACCGGAAGAACCACUCAAUAAGAAACCGAAAGAACUAUACUCUUAAUGAGGAACCGGAUGAGCUACACAUUUAAUUAAUGUCCUUCGGGAAAAACACUUUGUAUUCAUACUGAAAAUCAAAAUCAAGUUAGCGUUUACCCUUCAGUUCUACAUGAGAUUUCUGUUCUCAUUGAACCUCAAAACUAGCAUUUUUUUUGCAAUAUAUCAUAAUAUAAUAAUAAACAUUAGCGCGUGAAAAUUUAUGCAUAGUCACUGUUGUCUAUUCAACGAAUUUCCAAAAAAAAUUCCGUGGGAUACACUUUUAUUCGCCUCGAUAUUCGUCAUCGCAUGGAAUUUACGAGGCGCACAUCAAAAAUACCACGGAAAACUAUGGAAAACUUGUUUUUCACAAACGUAAAAUAAUAGUAGGGGCGGGUUCUUUGCUUAAAAUUCAUAAAGUGCAAACAUGAUUUCUGAUUGGGAGAAAUUCAUCCUUUCAUCAAAACCUUCGUUAAAGUGCAAACGGUCCACAUGAGAGAAUUUUGCGAAUGACGAAACCUUCUGAUUUAUCAAAGCUGACAACCAAUAAGAAAUCGAGAUUACGUGCAAGUAUUGUUUAAGACUUCUCCUGCUUUGACGUACUGGUAGCAUAACACCAUGGUGACCGGAGCCCGUGCAUUAAUUGUUGCCUUUCUGGCCAUAUUCUGUGUGCGACAGGCCCGGGCGAUCUCUGCAUUUGGAGUGAGUUGCCUAGCGGAGCAUAAUAAAUACCGCGAGAGGAACGGCGCUCCCCCUCUAGUGUGGGACGGUACCCUUGAGGCUCAUGCCAAGGCCUGGGCCAAGAAACUCAGCUCCGGUCGCCUCCCCCCUGGGGUGUUCCAUGACAUGAGGAGUCGUGAGGGUGAGAACAUCGCCAUAAUAUCAGAGCCGACGUGCGAAGAGGCGCUUAGCAUGUGGAUGGACGAGUUCAUAGAUUACAAGGAUGAAGGAUACUGCGCCAACCCCCCGAGACUACCCCCCUAUCACCUCAUGCAUUUCACACAAGUCACGUGGAAGGCGACCCGUCGGCUCGGGGUGGCUGUGUCAGGGAACUGGCUGGUGGCGCGCUACUCACCCUCGGGGAACUGGGGCGGACAGUUUGGCAGGAACGUUGAGUGCUAGAGAACUGUUGAGUCAAAAUGUUUUUAUCGAUGUAUUUGUCCAUUCAAAAAGAUCUCAAAAGUAAUAAAGCUAUCUAAAUAUUA
Nematostella vectensis (starlet sea anemone) is the source of this 3934-nucleotide RNA transcript. It is a transcript of the gene named Golgi-associated plant pathogenesis-related protein 1, with no coding region annotated. The record is from RefSeq and is a predicted model, not a curated record. The transcript is spliced from 4 exons. Lineage: Eukaryota; Metazoa; Cnidaria; Anthozoa; Actiniaria; Edwardsiidae.